Molecule: ribosomal RNA, 425 nt
Filed under: uncultured bacterium
Lineage: Bacteria
Description: partial 16S ribosomal RNA
Rfam family: Bacterial small subunit ribosomal RNA
Source: RNAcentral
GUGGGGAAUAUUGGACAAUGGGCGCAAGCCUGAUCCAGCCAUGUCGCGUGAGUGAUGAAGGCCCUAGGGUUGUAAAGCUCUUUCACCGGUGAAGAUAAUGACGGUAACCGGAGAAGAAGCCCCGGCUAACUUCGUGCCAGCAGCCGCGGUAAUACGAAGGGGGCUAGCGUUGUUCGGAAUUACUGGGCGUAAAGCGCACGUAGGCGGGUAUUUAAGUCAGGGGUGAAAUCCCGGAGCUCAACUCCGGAACUGCCUUUGAUACUGGGUACCUAGAGUAUGGAAGAGGUAAGUGGAAUUCCGAGUGUAGAGGUGAAAUUCGUAGAUAUUCGGAGGAACACCAGUGGCGAAGGCGGCUUACUGGUCCAUUACUGACGCUGAGGUGCGAAAGCGUGGGGAGCAAACAGGAUUAGAUACCCUAGUAGUCC